RNAcentral lists this transfer RNA (72 nucleotides) under Mikrogeophagus ramirezi. RNAcentral describes it as "tRNA-Val". It matches the Rfam family "tRNA". Rfam says of the family: Transfer RNA (tRNA) molecules are approximately 80 nucleotides in length. Their secondary structure includes four short double-helical elements and three loops (D, anti-codon, and T loops). The record is from RNAcentral. Lineage: Eukaryota; Metazoa; Chordata; Actinopteri; Cichliformes; Cichlidae.
CAGGAUGUAGUUAAGUUAGCAAAGCAUCUCCCUUACACUGAGAAGGCCCCCGUGCAAAUCGGGUCAUCCUGA